GGGGCCGUCGUCUAGCAUGGCUAGGAUACCAGCCUGGGGCGCUGGCGGUCCUGGGUUCAAAUCCCAGCGGCCCCA
Molecule: transfer RNA, 75 nt
Filed under: Candidatus Bathyarchaeota archaeon
Lineage: Archaea; Thermoproteati; Candidatus Bathyarchaeota
Also listed under: 2 other names
Description: tRNA-Pro
Rfam family: tRNA
About the family: Transfer RNA (tRNA) molecules are approximately 80 nucleotides in length. Their secondary structure includes four short double-helical elements and three loops (D, anti-codon, and T loops). Further hydrogen bonds mediate the characteristic L-shaped molecular structure. tRNAs have two regions of fundamental functional importance: the anti-codon, which is responsible for specific mRNA codon recognition, and the 3' end, to which the tRNAs corresponding amino acid is attached (by aminoacyl-tRNA synthetases). tRNAs cope with the degeneracy of the genetic code in two manners: having more than one tRNA (with a specific anti-codon) for a particular amino acid; and 'wobble' base-pairing, i.e. permitting non-standard base-pairing at the 3rd anti-codon position.
Source: RNAcentral